RNAcentral lists this ribosomal RNA (497 nucleotides) under uncultured bacterium. RNAcentral describes it as "partial 16S ribosomal RNA". It matches the Rfam family "Bacterial small subunit ribosomal RNA", at positions 28 to 507 of the family's 1533-position model. The record is from RNAcentral.
GAUGAACGCUGGCGGCGUGCCUAAUACAUGCAAGUCGAGCGAACAGACGAGGAGCUUGCUCCUCUGACGUUAGCGGCGGACGGGUGAGUAACACGUGGAUAACCUACCUAUAAGACUGGGAUAACUUCGGGAAACCGGAGCUAAUACCGGAUAACAUGCUGAACCGCAUGGUUCAACAGUGAAAGACGGUCUUGCUGGCACUUAUAGAUGGAUCCGCGCCGCAUUAGCUAGUUGGUAAGGUAACGGCUUACCAAGGCAACGAUGCGUAGCCGACCUGAGAGGGUGAUCGGCCACACUGGAACUGAGACACGGUCCAGGCUCCUACGGGAGGCAGCAGUAGGGAAUCUUCCGCAAUGGGCGAGAGCCUGACGGAGCAACGCCGCGUGAGUGAAGAAGGUCUUCGGAUCGUAAAACUCUGUUAUUAGGGAAGAACAAAUGUGUAAGUAACUAUGCACGUCUUGACGGUACCUAAUCAGAAAGCCACGGCUAACUACGUG